CUUUAGCUCAGUCGGUUAGAGCAUCUGACUGUUAAUCAGGGGGUCGUAAGUUCGAGUCUUACAAG
This 65-nucleotide transfer RNA is filed under the name human gut metagenome. It matches the Rfam family "tRNA", at positions 5 to 66 of the family's 71-position model. Rfam says of the family: Transfer RNA (tRNA) molecules are approximately 80 nucleotides in length. The record is from RNAcentral. RNAcentral also lists the same sequence under 1 other name.